AGUGAACGCUGGCGGUAGGCCUAACACAUGCAAGUCGAACGGCAGCACAGUAAGAGCUUGCUCUUACGGGUGGCGAGUGGCGGACGGAUGAGGAAUACAUCGGAAUCUACUUUUUCGUGGGGGAUAACGUAGGGAAACUUACGCUAAUACCGCAUACGACCUACGGGUGAAAGCAGGGGAUCUUCUGACCUUGCGCGAUUGAAUGAGCCGAUGUCGGAUUAGCUAGUUGGCGGGGUAAAGGCCCACCAAGGCGACGAUCCGUAGCUGGUCUGAGAGGAUGAUUCGCCCCCCUGGAACUGAGACACGGUCCCGACUCCUACGGGAGGCCGCAGUGGGGAAUAUUGGACAAUGGGCGGAAGGCCGGUCCCACCAAACCGCGUGGGUGAAGAAGGCCUUCGGGUUGGAAAGCCCCUUUGUUGGGAAAGAAAAGCAGCCGGUUAAAACCCCGCUGUUCUGACGGUAACCAAAGAAUAAGCACCGGCUAACUUCGUG
This 492-nucleotide ribosomal RNA is filed under the name uncultured bacterium. Its description in RNAcentral is "partial 16S ribosomal RNA". It matches the Rfam family "Bacterial small subunit ribosomal RNA", at positions 29 to 507 of the family's 1533-position model. The record is from RNAcentral.